This 8088-nucleotide long non-coding RNA is filed under the name Citrus x clementina. Its description in RNAcentral is "Citrus clementina (C. clementina) long non-coding RNA (CCLE_LNC001813)". The record is from RNAcentral. Lineage: Eukaryota; Viridiplantae; Streptophyta; Magnoliopsida; Sapindales; Rutaceae.
UAAUAUAAAUAUGGGCUCUUAAUAUGUAGCAGCGCCUUAGGCAACCGCCUAAGUUGUUUAGAGGUUGAGCCGCUCAUGUAUUUAUAUAAGGUGUAUGAUGGAACUUUUGCGUCAAUGGUUGAGAACUCUAAAGGAAACCAAAUAUGAGAGUGGGUAUUUUCGAAUAAGGCGACCGACAUAAAUCGAAUAUAUGUACUCUAAUUAAGUAGAGUAUGAUGAUUCUCGAUGUAAAGCAUUAUGGCUGUUGGCUAGAAUAAGGACAACAUUUUAGCCGAGGUGGCUUAUAAGUCCUUUGUGAGUGUGGUUUAUUGGAGUAAAGAAGAUGGAGAUAGCAUGAUUGUGUGGAUAUAGGGUCAAUAAAUUUGUACUUCUAGUUGAAAAUCUCACCAAGGUAAUGAUUGUUAGGAUAUAUUUCUCAAUUUUUAAAAAAGGUUUGUACCUCAAAUUUGAUAGUACUUACUAGGUAGGCUUCUUUUGCUUGGUAGUUUUCUUGUUUUAGGAGGAUUCUUAUUUAAAAAUGAGAAAUUAUUUGUUAUCCACCUUAAGUUUAUCCCCUUACAAAAAUAAUAUAUUAUAAAAAUUUGAAUUUGUUCAAUUUUUUCAACCUAAGUUUACAAUUUGUAUCAACCGUCCAUCAAAAUAUUAACUGCUGUUUAUAAUUGAUGAUGUCACAAGAUUAAUUUAGACAUUUGAUGACUUGCUCAAAAAAUGAAAUCACAGUUUAAAGUAUUAAAAAGUAUUUCUAAAACCAGUAUUUAGUUAAACACACUUAACACUCAAAUUUCUUCCUUAAUUACAAAAAAUCUACUUUAUCUUCACAAAUUUAAAUAUCAAACUUAAUUAAUUCACAAAUUACCCUAUAUCCUAAUUCAUAAACAUCCAAAAAAUCCAAUCCUUAUUUUUUAUUUCAUAGAUACUUAAUGAAUCCCAACUUGCAAUGUUUCAGCCACCUUUGUUGUUGGUUGUAGCCACGGUUAACACUUCUGCCAACCUCAUGGAUAUCUGCAACUACCAUAAGAUCCCUCAAUGGCUAGUAUUCAUAGUCCAAUGCAUGCUUUUGUCAACUAUUAUCGCAGAUGGUUGAAGGAUUUAGUGAAGAAGGAUUUGAUACUGUUGGAGAAUUAACAAAUAAAACACACAAAAACACACUAUUUUAUUUCUUCAACAACACUCCUCACCAAUUACAACUCUUAUUUUUCACUCUCUACACCUUAGAGAUUUUGCUACUUCACUUGAUGUUUUUAAACCAAAGGGGAGAGGGGGUAUUUAUACAUGAAACAAACUAAUCACAACCAUUCAUUUAUUCAACUAAUAAACAAAUCCUCACCAUCCAUUAAAACCUACCACUCACCUACUUCACCAACUACACCUAACACAAAUAAUUCAAACCUCACCAACCAUACCUACUCAUGGAACCUUCCAUGAGUUGGGCUUGAUUUAUUCAUCUUGGAUCAAGUUUAUGAUCCAACACCUCCCCUUAAACUUGAUCCUGUGACACCAAGUAAACUUUUGAAUCUUAUAAGUCUUCUUGCUUGAGUGGCUUAGUGAAGAUAUCAGCUGCUUGAUCNNNNNNNNNNNNNNNNNNNNNNNNNNNNNNNNNNNNNNNNNNNNNNNNNNNNNNNNNNNNNNNNNNNNNNNNNNNNNNNNNNNNNNNNNNNNNNNNNNNNUACUUCGAUCAUGAAGACUGGAUUCUGGAUAGGCAUUGCUGAUUUGUUAUCAACACAGUCUCGGUGGCUCUUUUUGUGCCAAACUGAGCUCCUUCAGUAAAUUUCUAAGCCAAAUUGCAUGACAAACACUUAAUGUGGCAGCUACAUAUUCAGCUUCACAGGUGGAUAGCGUGACAAUUUGUUGCUUCUUUGACAUCCAUGUGAAAGCAGUAUCUCCCAUGAAGAACACAAAUCUUGUUGUGCUCUUUCAAUCAUCUACAUCUCCACCCCAAUCACUAUCGCUAUAUCCAAUAAGCUUGUAGUCAUUAGAAAAUGAGUAUAACAAGCCGAAAUUAAUUGUACCUUUGAUGUAGCGAAGGAUUCUUUUUGCAGCUUUAAAAUGGGUGGUCUUUGGAUUCUCCAUGUAUCGGCUCACAAGUCCAACAACAUAAAGGAUAUCUGGUCUUGUGCAUGUCAAAUAACGUAAGCUUCCAACCAAACUUUUAAAGAAUGUUGGAUCUAUAUCUUCGCCUUCAUCAUAUUUGGAUAACUUGACUCCGCAUUCCACUGGCGUGCUUAUAGGCUUGCAAUAAUUCAUCUUGAACCUUUUGAGAAUCUCCUUUGCAUAGCUUUCUUGGGAGAUAAAUAUGCCUUCUUCCUUUUGGUUGACUUCAAUGUCGAGGUAAUAUGCCAUCAGUCCGAUGUCAGUCAUCUCGAACUCUUUGAUCAUCACUCUCUUGAACUCUUCAAACAAGCUUGGAUUACUUCCAGUGAAGAUGAGAUCAUCCACAUACAGGCACACAAUCAAAAUAUCUCCAUCUUUUUCUUUGACAUAGAGAGCAUGUUCAUAUGGGCAUUUGGUGAAGCCUUUCUCUUGAAAAUACUUGUCAAUUCUGCUAUUCCAUGCCCUUGGUGCUUGCUUUAACUCGUAAAGAGCUUUCUUCAAUCUCAAAACUUUAUCUUCAUGUCCUUUCACCACAUAGCCUAAUGGUUGUUCGAUAUAAACUUCUUCUUCAAGGAAUCCAUUCAAGAAAGCAGACUUUACAUCCAUUUGAAAAAUCUUCCAUUUGUUCUGAGCAGCCAAAGAAAUAAUAAGUCUAAUAGUUUCAAGUCGAGCUACAGGAGCAAAUACCUCGUCAUAGUCUAUGCCAGCCUUUUGACUAUAGCCUUUUGUAACUAGCCUCGCCUUAUGCCUUUCAAUUUCUCCCUUCGCAUUUCUUUUUGUUUUAUACACCUAUUUGACACUGAUCGCCUUGUCACCUUUUGGAAGAGUAGUAAGCUCCCAAGUAUCAUUCUUCACAAUGGCUUUGAUUUCUUCAUCCAUUGCAAUUCUCCACUUCUCAUCUAGUGCAGCUUCUUGGAAGUUGACUGGCUUACAAUCAGCAAAGAGGCAAAAGAGAGUGAGAUUAUCAUGUCUCUCAGUUACCUCAUAGAGAUCUUGAAGACUCAUUGUACGUUCUUUGGUUCUUUCAUUUAAGAAAGAUGGCGGUGAAUCUCCGCAUGUGGUUGAUGCUGGUGAGAUAGGUGGAGUGGCAGACUCUUGUUGUUCAUCUGCUUGUUUUAUCUGUGUAUGAUCAUCUUCUUCAAUGGGAAAGAAGUUAAAGUCAUCCACACCAGAGCCAAAAUCCCAUUCUCCUUCUUUAUCAAAAACUACAUCUCGACUGAUCAUGAUCUUCCCAUUGUUUGGAUUGUAAAGCUUGUAUCCUUUAGAGUUGUUGUCGUAGCCGAUGAAGAUGAACUUCUCACUUUUGUCAUCCAGCUUGGCUCUAUUUUCGUCUGGUACAUGUACAUGGGCAAUGCUUCCGAAAACUCUUAGAUGGGUGAUGUCGGGUUUUCUUCCACUCUAAGCUUCUUGUGGCGUCUUGCCCCACACGCUUCUUAUUGGAGAUCGAUUGGAUAAGUAGACUGCACAUGCAACAGCUUCAGCCCAAAAUUCUUUAGGUAGCCUCUUACUCUUAAGCAUGCUUCUUGCCAUAUCGAGGAUGGUUCUGUUCUUCCUUUCUGCAACACCAUUUUGUUGGGGGGAUCUUGGAACUGUCAAAGGACGUUGAAUUCCAUUUGCUUCACAAAACUCUAAAAAUUCUUUGGAAGUGAACUCUCCACCUCGAUCAGAUCUCAUGGCUUUAAUCUGGUAUUCACUUUCUUUUUCAACUGCAGCUUUAAACUUUUUGAAAGCUUCAAAGACUUCUGAUUUUUGCUUCAAAAAAUACACCCAAGUUUUUCUUGAAAAAUCAUCUAUGAAGAGAAUGAAAUAGUUACUUUUACCAAGAGAGUUUGGCUUGAAUGGACCGCACACAUCAGUAUGAAUGAGCUCGAGUGGCUUCUGAGCUCUUGAGUUUGACUUCUUUGGAAAGCUCUUUCUGAACUGCUUGCCAAGUAAAUAUCCUUCACAAAGUUGAUCAGGGUGAUUGAUGUAUGGUAAGCCUUUCACCAUGUUCUUCUUAGAUAGUAGCUCCAAUCCUCCAAAGUUGAGAUGCCCAUAUCGAAGAUGCCAAGUCCAGGAUUGAUCUUUGUGACAGGCUUUGAGACAUUUUGCAACAUCAUUUUGAAUAUUUAAUGGAAACAUUCUAUUCUUCGACAUUUUCACCUUUGUAAUUAGAUUUCCUUUGUCAUCUCUUAGGAAAAGACUAUAAUCUUUUAAGUGAAUAUCAUAGCCUUUUUCUAAAAGUUGACCUAAACUAAGAAUAUUGCUUUUCAUAUUGGGCACAUAGUAAACAUUCGAAAUUAUUUGGUGGCUACCAUCUUUUACAUGAAAAAGAAUGUUACCUCUACCCUUCACUGGUACUUUUGAAUCAUCUCCAAAAGCAACACUGCCAUUCACAGAUUCACUUAGUUGUAUGAACAUGCUUCUGUUUCCACUCAUAUGAUUGCUAGCACCUGUGUCAAGAUACCAUGUAUUUUCUUGACCUCCACUUGUGUCAUUGCGUGCUAGUAAAACUAUGCCAUCUUCAAAAUUUUUCUCUUCAGCAUAGUUCACUCUCUCAUCAAUUCUGGUGCUUGGAGCUCUGCAUUCUGAAGCAUAAUGCCCAAACUUUUGACAAUUAUAGCAUUGUACUUGGGAUUUGUCAUACCUCAAUCUUAGAUUGCCUCUGCCUCAUCCUCUGGUUGAGCUUUCUCUUUUAGCAUAAUUGGAGUUGUUGUUGUUGAAAUUCGAACCUGGUCCAUGACCACGACCUCUACCUCGGACAUAGUGCCUUCUCUCGUUGUCGGAGCUUUCUUCUCUUUUCUUUAGAUUGACUUCCAUCUUGAGAAGUUGUUCUUCGAUUCCUUGCUUCUUUUUUUGUUUUUCUUCAUAGGCUUGCAACCUUCCUUGAAGUUGCUCGAUCGUCAUAUCCUUCAGAUCUCUUGUUUCUUCAAUUGUCACAACAAUAUGGUCAAACUUCGAGUCUACUGAUCGACGUAUCUUUUCAAUGAUCCUUACCUCUUUUAACUCCUCGCCAUUUCUUUUUAAUCCAUUGGAAAUGGUCACAACCCGAGUAAAGUAGUCAGAAAUUGACUCCGAUGCCUUCAUGUGUAAGGACUCAAAUUCUCCUCGUAAUGUUUGGAGACGAACCUUCUUAACUUGCUCCGCUCCUUUGUAAGAGGUCUCUAGUUUCUCCCAUACUUCUUUUGAGGAGGUUGUACCAGCAAUCUUUUCAAAAGCAUCUUCAUCUAAUGAUUGAAAGAUAAGAUACUUUGCUUUAUUCUCUUUCUUCUUCAAAUCUUUUAAAUUCUCCUUAUGCGCCGCAGUUAAAGUAGCUUCAUUUUCUGGCACAAUAAAGCCUUUCUCCACAACAUCCCAUACGUCAUGUGCACCCAAUAGAGCCUUCAUUUUAAUACUCCAAUUGUCAAACUUACUUCCCUUUAAUUGUGGAACUUGAAAUGACAUCAUACCACCGUUUGCCAUAACUCACAAAUUGAGUGAGAAUUUGGAGAUUCUGAAAGUACAGAUGGAUCUGGCACGUCGAAAAAUCUUGGGAAGGACUCGAGUCAACUUUUGGUCAACGGUCAAGGGUCAACACUAGUCAACGGUCAACGUCGGUCAACGGUCAACACCGGCUUGGUAGUCUUGGUUCGGUCCAGAUUGGUUCAGCUCGAGUUGGCUCGAUUCGACUUGAUUCGGUUCAGCUCGGCUAGGCUUGGUUCAGUUCGGCUCAGCUUGGUUCAACUCAGUGAGUCGACUCGGCUUCAGGACAGAAAACUUCCGGCGGCAAGUGUCGGCGCGUCCACUCUCGGAUCGAGAUGAUUUUUUUGGCGUCACGUUCCUCUCGUCGAGAUCUUCGAUUUGAUAUGCUAUAUGACUAUAUAUAGCAUUAAACACUAGCUCUGAUACCACUUUGUUGGAGAAUUAACAAAUAAAACACACAAAAACACACUAUUUUAUUUCUUCAACAACACUCCUCACCAAUUACAACUCUUAUUUUUCACUCUCUACACCUUAGAGAUUUUGCUACUUCACUUGAUGUUUUUAAACCAAAGGGGAGAGGGGGUAUUUAUACAUGAAACAAACUAAUCACAAUCAUUCAUUUAUUCAACUAAUAAACAAAUCCUCACCAUCCAUUAAAACCUACCACUCACCUACUUCACCAACCACACCUAACACACCUAACACAAAUAAUUUAAACCUCACCAACCAUACCUACUCAUGGAACCUUCCAUGAGUUGGGCUUGAUUUAUUCAUCUUGGAUCAAGUUUAUGAUCCAACAGAUACAAACUUUGGAUUGAUUUUGUGAACCCUAAAAAUUUAAGGAGAGCGAAGAUAAGGAAUAAGAUAAUGAGAUAUAUUUUAUUUUAUUUUUGGAUUUAUGUAGUCAAUGAAGGAUUUGAUACAAAUUGUGGUUAGUGAUCAAAAUCUUUGGUGAAUCUUAUUUUGAAACAAGGAGCUGGGUUUUUAUUUUUUAUUUUUUUAUUUUAUUACUUAUGGUGCAAAUUUAAAAAUGCCCUUGAAUUCAAGGGUAAAAUGAUCAGUUUAAUUAGAGUAUGUUAAAUAUUCUAACAAUAUUAAUGUUUUGAUGAAUAGUUAAUACAAAUUGCAAACUUAGGGUAGAAAAUUAAAAAAAAAAUUCAAACUUUUAUAGUAUUUUUAAUAAAAGGGAAAAAUCAAGGUGGAUAACUAAUAAUUUUUCUUUAGAGAAUAAGUAGUUCCUUUUUAUAGGAUUUAAAGGAUUACUACUCUUACUAGAAAUAUUUUACUAAUUACUAUAUGUUAGUUUCACUAUUUAUUGACAUUAGUUUUCUGUGCAGGUAAGCAGUUUCCAACUAGUGAGAAACAAUAGGUUUAUUUAGUGAUUUGAGUGUGGCGAAAUACUCAUUAGACCUUAUAUUUUUGGCUUAGUAUCCGUUUAAUCUCUAUAUUUUAUAAAAAUCUCAAGACACCUUUAUUGCUAAAUAUGUGAUACUCAUGCCCAUAUUUCUUUUCUUUUACAAUAAUACACUUACUAAAAUUUUAUAGACAUACAUUAGUUUAUCUAUAAAAAUGUUUAUUAACGAAUUAAUCCAAUAAUUACUUAUUAGCAAAUUAACCAAUCAUAGUUAGUAUGAAAGAAUUGGUAUUUCUCAUACCCUUGCAACAAUCUUGUUAAUAAUUACUUAAAUAAAAAAAAGUAAUUUUCCAAAUUAACCAUAAAACUAAAAUAAUAACAAAACAUUUACAUUUAUUUUUAUAAUAUUUGUAGGGUUAAUUUUUUAAUUAACCUUUUUAUAGAUAAAUUAAUUAAUGUCUCCAAAAAUAUUGUUCCAAGUGUAUUAUUAUAAAAGUAAAGAAAAAGUAGGGGCAUGGCUACAAGAUAUUUAACAACAAGAAUGUCCUGAGGCAUUUUUUAAAAUAUGAUAAUUAAACGGCCACUAAUCCUAAAAUAUAGGAACUAAAUAAGCAUGUCUUUUGAUUGUUAUUAGUUUUUUGGCUAUGCAAAAAAAAAAAAGUAUAUAUAUUAGAGUGUGAUUGUAAUCAUUUUCUCAUGGUGAAUUUUUUUCUCCUCGUCAUCUUUUGCAACCAUAGUUUUUCUCCAAUAUAAGAGUUUCCACGUAAAUUCUUGUGUUAUGUGAUUUUUUUUUCCAUAUAUCUGUUUGGUUGAUUUUAUUCUCCAUACGUAUUUUCUGUUAUUACUUGCUUUAUAUUUUUACCAAUGAGAUCUUAGGAGGAAUUAAAAAUUUCAACAAACCUUUCUGUUGGGGUAAAAUUUUAUUUAGUCCAUAUAUUUUGAAGUUAAUGCUUGUUUAGUUUUUGUAUUUUUAAAAAUACCUCAAAACAUUCCUACUAUUAAAUUAUUGCCAGCCAUGUCAUUACUUUUGUUAUUUUUGACUUGUUUUAAAAAUAUUACACUCUUACAAUACUUAUUUUUGGACAAUAAUUAAAAUUAAAUUAAAUUACCAAUUUAACCCCAAAAAUAAAAUAGAAACAAAAAGAAUAUGUAUUAAUUUUUGUGGAACACUCUAUUGAGGAGUUGAUAUAUUAAUUUUUUUU